UACUGGUUUGUAAUUCUACAUAAAGUGA
This 28-nucleotide non-coding RNA is filed under the name Mus musculus (house mouse). Lineage: Eukaryota; Metazoa; Chordata; Mammalia; Rodentia; Muridae. The record is from RNAcentral.